RNAcentral lists this ribosomal RNA (253 nucleotides) under uncultured bacterium. RNAcentral's name for it is "partial 16S ribosomal RNA". It matches the Rfam family "Bacterial small subunit ribosomal RNA", at positions 524 to 776 of the family's 1533-position model. The record is from RNAcentral.
UACGGAGGAUCCAAGCGUUAUCCGGAUUUACUGGGUUUAAAGGGUGCGUAGGCGGAUUAAUAAGUCAGUGGUGAAAUCCUACAGCUUAACUGUAGAACUGCCAUUGAUACUGUUAGUCUUGAGUAUUGUUGAGGUGGGCGGAAUUUGUCAUGUAGCGGUGAAAUGCUUAGAUAUGACAAAGAACACCAAUCGCGAAGGCAGUUCACCAAACAAUAACUGACGCUGAGGCACGAAAGCGUGGGGAUCAAACAGG